Molecule: transfer RNA, 71 nt
Filed under: Partulina redfieldi
Lineage: Eukaryota; Metazoa; Mollusca; Gastropoda; Stylommatophora; Achatinellidae
Description: tRNA-Asn
Source: RNAcentral
UAUAAAAUAAUUAUUAGGUUUAAAUUUUCUUUUAAUUAACAUUUAAAGGCUUUUAGAUAAGCUAAUUUUAU